UGAGAUAUGUAUGUGAUAAACUUGUAAACAUAGGUGUCAUAUUGAUAUGUUGGCCCUGUGUAAGUUGUAAUAGUUCAGCCUGGCGAACCUCUGUUAUCAAGCAGGUUGUUAUUACGUAUCUACAAUGAACAAGUAAACACCUAAAGGAACAGCCUGCGUGUAUUUACCAUCACGUAACAAAUACUGGAUUCGAUGCAGAAUGGCGCAAACAUCAUCUGAUGAGCUUUCAAAAAUCAUGUAGUAUGCACUGAAAGAAGUGGUUGAUGUAACGAGAGAAAUAGCAGACCUGAGCAUCGUGCCUAAAUUACAAAGACCGUUGGUAGAUACACGUGACCACAUCCGAUGUCUUGUGAAAGUUCAUAACAGCAGUGCAACAAGCAUAGAGAGGUCCUGGGAUGAAGCCAUCAGGAGGAUUACAGAACAUCCUCCUGGUCAGUUGUUUGCUGAUGAUGCAGAGGACGUUGCAGCAACACCAGAGGCAGCAGCAUCCUCUGCAUCAUCACAAGGACAAAAGAGAUGCCGAACAAAAGAGGUGCAGGCCACAGACAGGCAGAAGAGGAAGAAAACUGCUGAAGAUGUAUAUACAAUUCAGCAUGCCUACUUUGAGAGAGAGAUGGUUAAGACCGAACUACAGAUCACCCUUUUAAAGAAAAUUCUUGAAAAUUUUGAAGGUCAGCAAGACACUGUCAGCCAUCUAGCUGCUUUGUCUCAUUAGCUGAAUAUUGCUUACAUGCUAAUGAUACAAAACAGACAGAAUGCUGUCAAUCUUGUCUGAUCAUUGUAGUUAUCCCUUGCUCAGCGUUAGUUAAA
Mizuhopecten yessoensis (Yesso scallop) is the source of this 810-nucleotide long non-coding RNA. RefSeq lists it as uncharacterized. Lineage: Eukaryota; Metazoa; Mollusca; Bivalvia; Pectinida; Pectinidae. The record is from RefSeq and is a predicted model, not a curated record. The transcript has 6 exons.